UAGCUCUCAAUAUGGCGGUUAGAAAAAUCCUUGUUUUAUGCUUAGUGGGGUUUGCCUUCCUGCUUGUGUUCAAUGAAGCCCGACCAGCUCCAGAUGCAACUGGAGGACAACAUGUUCAUCAUUAUAAAAUUGAUGGGAAGAAUGGUACUGGAGGUAA
Argiope bruennichi is the source of this 157-nucleotide long non-coding RNA. RefSeq lists it as uncharacterized. The transcript has 5 exons. NCBI's taxonomy places the organism in Eukaryota, Metazoa, Arthropoda, Arachnida, Araneae, Araneidae. The record is from RefSeq and is a predicted model, not a curated record.